GAUGGAACCUUACAUGAAAC
Molecule: small nuclear RNA, 20 nt
Filed under: Arabidopsis thaliana (thale cress)
Lineage: Eukaryota; Viridiplantae; Streptophyta; Magnoliopsida; Brassicales; Brassicaceae
Description: snRNA_16424
Source: RNAcentral